RNAcentral lists this ribosomal RNA (253 nucleotides) under uncultured bacterium. RNAcentral describes it as "partial 16S ribosomal RNA". It matches the Rfam family "Bacterial small subunit ribosomal RNA", at positions 524 to 776 of the family's 1533-position model. The record is from RNAcentral.
UACGGAGGGUGCGAGCGUUGUUCGGAAUCACUGGGCGUAAAGGGCGUGUAGGCGGUCCGCUAAGUCUGAUGUGAAAGCCCGGGGCUCACCCCCGGAAGGGCAUUGGAAACUGGCGGACUCGAGUCUCGGAGAGGAAGGUGGAAUUCCUGGUGUAGCGGUGAAAUGCGUAGAUAUGCGGAGGAACACCGAUGGCGAAGGCAAUCCCCUGGGCCUGCACUGACGCUCAUGCACGAAAGCGUGGGGAGCAAACAGG